CUACGUGCCAGCAGCCGCGGUAAUACGUAGGUGGCAAGCGUUGUCCGGAAUUAUUGGGCGUAAAGCGCGCGCAGGCGGAUCAGUUAGUCUGUCUUAAAAGUUCGGGGCUUAACCCCGUGAUGGGAUGGAAACUGCUGAUCUAGAGUAUCGGAGAGGAAAGUGGAAUUCCUAGUGUAGCGGUGAAAUGCGUAGAUAUUAGGAAGAACACCAGUGGCGAAGGCGACUUUCUGGACGAAAACUGACGCUGAGGCGCGAAAGCCAGGGGAGCGAACGGGAUUAGAUACCCCGGUAGUCCUGGCCGUAAACGAUGGGUACUAGGUGUAGGAGGUAUCGACCCCUUCUGUGCCGGAGUUAACGCAAUAAGUACCCCGCCUGGGGAGUACGACCGCAAGGUUGAAACUCAAAGGAAUUGACGGGGGCCCGCACAAGCGGUGGAGUAUGUGGUUUAAUUCGACGCAACGCGAAGAACCUUACCAGGUCUUGACAUCCCUCUGACCGCUCUAGAGAUAGAGUUUUC
RNAcentral lists this ribosomal RNA (517 nucleotides) under uncultured bacterium. RNAcentral describes it as "bacterial SSU rRNA". It matches the Rfam family "Bacterial small subunit ribosomal RNA", at positions 501 to 1016 of the family's 1533-position model. The record is from RNAcentral.